CCUACGGGAGGCUGCAGUGGGGAAUUUUGGACAAUGGGCGAAAGCCUGAUCCAGCCAUUCCGCGUGAGUGAAGAAGGCCUUCGGGUUGUAAAGCUCUUUCGCAAGGGAAGAAAACUUAGUUACUAAUAUUAACUGAGGUUGACGGUACCUUGAUAAGAAGCACCGGCUAACUACGUGCCAGCAGCCGCGGUAAUACGUAGGGUGCGAGCGUUAAUCGGAAUUACUGGGCGUAAAGCGUGCGCAGGCGGUUUUGUAAGUCAGAUGUGAAAUCCCCGAGCUCAACUUGGGAACUGCGUUUGAAACUACAAGACUAGAAUAUGUCAGAGGGGGGUAGAAUUCCACGUGUAGCAGUGAAAUGCGUAGAGAUGUGGAGGAAUACCAAUGGCGAAGGCAGCCCCCUGGGAUAAUAUUGACGCUCAUGCACGAAAGCGUGGGGAGCAAACAGGAUUAGAUACCCGGGUAGUC
Molecule: ribosomal RNA, 465 nt
Filed under: Weissella confusa
Lineage: Bacteria; Bacillati; Bacillota; Bacilli; Lactobacillales; Lactobacillaceae
Description: bacterial SSU rRNA
Rfam family: Bacterial small subunit ribosomal RNA
Source: RNAcentral